This 264-nucleotide long non-coding RNA is filed under the name Solanum tuberosum (potato). RNAcentral's name for it is "long non-coding RNA (STUB_LNC010065)". The record is from RNAcentral. Lineage: Eukaryota; Viridiplantae; Streptophyta; Magnoliopsida; Solanales; Solanaceae.
GGGAAUACUCAUAGUUACCUGUCCUUGCUUUCUUAGUCUCCUUAGCCUGUUCCCUAAGCUUAUCACCCUCAACCUACUGAGCAUGAGUCAUGAGCCUAGAGAUGUUCAUGUCUCCCAACAACAUAGCAUUCCUGCACUCUGUCUUCACUAAGUCUGACACUCCAUAGAGAAACUUAUUCAUCUGAGCCCUGGAAUCAGCAACCAUGUGAGGAGCAUACCUGGAGAGUUGGUUAAACUUGAGCCCAUACUCUUGGACAGUCAUGU